GUUAGAAACGGGGUGACGGAACCGGGAAGGUCCGAGUAGAGGCAUAGUCCCCAUUGCACAGAGGCCGGUCUGAGGCUCGGCGACGCCGCCCGUGGGCCCCGCACCAGGCCCGGGAGAGGGUCCGCCGUGCCCUGGUCCCACUUCUCCCGCGGCUCCCGGCGCCGCUCCGCUCACAGAGUCCGAUGGCGGCGGCGGCGGCGCUUAGGCACCAGCCUCAGAGUCCGAAGGCUGCAGAAGUACUUAUGGAAACAAAACAGGUAUGGUAGUGGUGUCCUAGUACCUUACUGGCUCCAACCCUCACUCGGAUGCUUUCUGGUUUGUGGUGUCCUGAGACUCUUACGUGCCAUUUUCCCAGUCCUUGGGUCUGGGGACCCUAGAGAAACCCCAAGCCCAGGGUUCUAAGUCUAUAUCAGGGGUGAUAUGGAGGUGUUCCCAUUUCUGGCGACUAGUGUAAACUAGUGUGGAAGGUUAACCCAGGAGCUGCUACCAGGUUAUGCAAAUACUUAGUGUUAAAACUGAGCUGGGAGUGUUAAGGAACCACAGGUCUCUCUUUCUGGUAUGAACAAAGGAAAGGAAUAUAGGAUGACUGCCUGAGAAAUGGGGCAUCUAUUUUGGAGGUAUUGGGAGGUUUGGAUCAGAGGAGGGAGGUGAUAUUACCAAGGUCUAAAAAGGCUCCAUCUGACUGUAAAGUGGAGAACAGACUGUGGGAGUGAGGGAGGAGCAAGGUGGAGGCUACUGAGGGUUAAUGGGCCAGGGCUGUGGUUUAGGAGAUGUGGUCGGAGUCUGGAUGCAUGUUCUAAAAAGGGGCGACUAGGUUUUAUAGUAUGAAUGAUGAGAGAGUGAAACAGAGAACUCAGGGAUAACCCCAGCGUGUUUGGUCUUGGCAGCUGUAGGGAUGGAAGCUCCAACUGAGAUGAGGAAGUUGGUAGUAGGAGUAAUAAUCACUGGGGGUAUCAGGAACUUUGUUUUAACCAUGUUAAGAGUCUGAGGUAUUUCAGAGACCAGUAAGUGGAGGCAUCAGAUUGUCAGCUGGACUCACAAGUUGGGAAAUCAAAAGAGGGGUUCAAGUUGGAGACAUUCAAAAAGUGGUAGGUACUAUGUGGACCCAAGUAAGUGACCUGUGGUCACAGGAGGUAUAAUCUUCAUGUUACAGUCCUAAAGCUGUUCAGGAAGCAGGAAGUGGAGGAUAGAGACUGACUACUUAUUCUCUUGCUUGAGUACCUGAGUGAUGGUUUUGGUUUCUUAAGUGCAAUUGAGGGAGGUAUGUGGCCAUAAAUGUAGGGUAUAUCAGACAUGAGAGCCUGGCAAGUGGCCAAGGCUUCCAAGAGAAGAGUAGAUAUGAGAUGGAUGUCAAGGCAUAGGAGUGCUUGAGGCAAGAUGACAUGCAGACCAGAGCUAUUUCUUAUUCACCACACUAUGGACUCACCAAGAUCCUGUGAGGACUUUGCUGGGGCCUGGAAUGUUUCAAUUAGCCUGGUGGAUAUGGUCAGGGCAAGUAUGGUCAUUUGUGUUAGUUAAUAGGACUGGGGUUGUUGGUAAGUGGGACUGGACUUUGAAUGAGGGUUAGAUGGACAGAGAAGGCUGUCAUAGCUGAGGGACAGCAAGAGCAGCACAGAAAUGCAAGAGGGCCAUGGGCAUCCAACGUCGACAUGUGGUUCUGUGUGGCUUAGUCUUAGGCAAGGAGUAGCCAUACAGGGAGGGAGGCCUUCAUAAUGGGAUUAGAUGAUUCCACCCCCAGUGGGAGCCAUGGGAGGUCUAAGCUAAUAUUGAAUCUUGUUUGAAUUUGCCAGGCAACUCUGGGUGCUUUCUGCAAAGUUGUAUUUUUAAGGCCUAAAAUAAAGGCCCAUUAUCACGUGCUGCCUUGACAUCUAAUAAAACCUAGAGUGGCUCAAAUGGCCUGAGUGUAAGUUCCCCUCUCGAAUUGGUGAUCUUGGAUAGGGUCUCCCAUUUUAUCAAGGGGGCUAGAGCAGUUCCUUCUCUUAAGAAAAACUCAACUCACAUUGGCGGAAAUUCCCUGACGGUACAGUGAUUAGGACUCAGCACUCUCACUGCCGGGGCAUGGGUUCGAUCCUUGGCUAGGGACCUAAGAUCCUGCAAGCUGUGUGGCAGGCCCCCCAAAAAAGAAAGAUCAAAUUAGCUUUAUUCAACAAUUCAUGCUUUGGGUAGCAUCCCAUCUGGCAAAUAGAAAGGAGCUCCACUGAGCUGUAUAAAAGGAAAGGUUUUUAAAUGUGGAAAGGGUGUGGAAAAGGGAAAUUAUUAGCAAAGAAUGCAUUGUCUCAGGCAAGUUUGCCCUCCAGUGGGGAACGAAAGGGGUCUAUUGGGCAGAUUACCUCACUAGUUCUGACCAGGAAAUUCCAGGCUGAUUAGUUAAAGGUUACUUUCCUGGAGGUUGAAACCGCAGUUAGGUUGGGUAUUGAAUAUUAAGUCUUGGUUUGCUUGUGUGGGGUUUAGCACAGUGACUCUGUUUUCACCUUCCAUCUCCUUUUUAACAUUGCUAAUCUUUUUUGAAGUGGGUUUCAGUUCUCUACUGGCCUGCAGAGUUAUUCAGACAAGCCAUUGCAUCAUCCUCUAGGAAACAGGUUGUACCCCGACCUCUUGAUCCUAAAAAACUUCCACCGCACAAUCCCUGGUGGGGUUUUUUCUUUUUUCCAGUGUACAACAUUCAUGUGACCCUGUAUGGUAUGUGAUGUCCUCCUCUCGCAGGCUAUAUCUCUAAUUAAUAAACUGUUGUUGAUCUCA
This is a long non-coding RNA of Lagenorhynchus albirostris (white-beaked dolphin), 2739 nucleotides long. RefSeq lists it as uncharacterized. The transcript is spliced from 2 exons. The record is from RefSeq and is a predicted model, not a curated record. NCBI's taxonomy places the organism in Eukaryota, Metazoa, Chordata, Mammalia, Artiodactyla, Delphinidae.